AUACGGAAGGUCCGGGCGUUAUCCGGAUUUAUUGGGUUUAAAGGGAGCGCAGGCGGAGAUGCAAGCGUGACGUCACAUUUCGGGGCUCAACCCCGUCUCGCGUCGCGAACUGCGUCCCUUGGUUGCGGGAAGGGGAGGCGGAACUCGUGGUGUUGCGGUGAAAUGCAUAGAUAUCACGAAGAACUCCGAUCGCGAAGGCAGCCUUCCGGCCCGUCAACGACGCUCAUGCUCGAAGGUGCGGGUAUCAAACAGGAUUAGAUACCCUGGUAGUCCGCACAGUAAACGAUGGACACCCGCGGUUUGGCCUGUAUGGCUGAGCCGCCAAGCGAAAGCGUUAAGUGUCCCACCUGGGGAGUACGCCGGCAACGGUGAAACUCAAAUGAAUUGACG
RNAcentral lists this ribosomal RNA (390 nucleotides) under uncultured bacterium. Its description in RNAcentral is "partial 16S ribosomal RNA". It matches the Rfam family "Bacterial small subunit ribosomal RNA", at positions 523 to 915 of the family's 1533-position model. The record is from RNAcentral.